This 74-nucleotide transfer RNA is filed under the name Podarcis lilfordi (Lilford's wall lizard). RNAcentral describes it as "tRNA.Ile". The record is from RNAcentral. Lineage: Eukaryota; Metazoa; Chordata; Lepidosauria; Squamata; Lacertidae.
GCCAGGAUAGCUCAGUUGGUUAGAACAUGGUGCCGAUAACGCCAGGGUUGCAGGUUCAUUCCCUGUAUGGGACA